This 253-nucleotide ribosomal RNA is filed under the name uncultured bacterium. RNAcentral's name for it is "partial 16S ribosomal RNA". It matches the Rfam family "Bacterial small subunit ribosomal RNA", at positions 524 to 776 of the family's 1533-position model. The record is from RNAcentral.
UACGGAGGAUCCAAGCGUUAUCCGGAUUUAUUGGGUUUAAAGGGUGCGUAGGCGGCCUGUUAAGUCAGGGGUGAAAGACGGUAACUCAACUAUCGCAGUGCCCUUGAUACUGAUGGGCUUGAAUUGACUAGAGGUAGGCGGAAUGUGACAAGUAGCGGUGAAAUGCAUAGAUAUGUCACAGAACACCGAUUGCGAAGGCAGCUUACUAUGGUCUUAUUGACGCUGAGGCACGAAAGCGUGGGGAUCAAACAGG